GGGGAAUAUUGGACAAUGGGCGAAAGCCUGAUCCAGCCAUGCCGCGUGAGUGAUGAAGGCCUUAGGGUUGUAAAGCUCUUUCAGUGGGGACGAUAAUGACGGUACCCACAGAAGAAGCCCCGGCUAACUUCGUGCCAGCAGCCGCGGUAAUACGAAGGGGGCUAGCGUUGUUCGGAUUUACUGGGCGUAAAGCGCACGUAGGCGGGUCGUUAAGUCAGGGGUGAAAUCCUGGAGCUCAACUCCAGAACUGCCUUUGAUACUGGCGACCUAGAGUCCGGAAGAGGUGAGUGGAACUCCUAGUGUAGAGGUGGAAUUCGUAGAUAUUAGGAAGAACACCAGUGGCGAAGGCGGCUCACUGGUCCGGUACUGACGCUGAGGUGCGAAAGCGUGGGGAGCAAAC
This 400-nucleotide ribosomal RNA is filed under the name uncultured bacterium. Its description in RNAcentral is "bacterial SSU rRNA". It matches the Rfam family "Bacterial small subunit ribosomal RNA", at positions 356 to 773 of the family's 1533-position model. The record is from RNAcentral.